UACGGAGGGUGCGAGCGUUGUCCGGAAUCACUGGGCGUAAAGGGCGCGUAGGCGGCGCGAGCAGUCGAUCGUGAAAGUCCGGAGCUCAACUCCGGAUCGGCGGUCGAUACUCUCGUGCUUGAGCACUGUAGAGGCAGAUGGAAUUCCGGGGUGUAGCGGUGGAAUGCGUAGAGAUCCGGAGGAACACCGGUGGCGAAGGCGGUGGUCGUGGGCCGGCACUGACGCUGAGGAGCGAAAGCGUGGGGAGCGAACAGG
This 255-nucleotide ribosomal RNA is filed under the name uncultured bacterium. RNAcentral describes it as "partial 16S ribosomal RNA". It matches the Rfam family "Bacterial small subunit ribosomal RNA", at positions 524 to 776 of the family's 1533-position model. The record is from RNAcentral.